AUUGAACGCUGGCGGCAGGCCUAACACAUGCAAGUCGAACGAGUGGCGGACGGGUGAGUAAUGUCUGGGAAACUGCCCGAUGGAGGGGGCUAACUACUGGAAAAGGUAGCUAAUACCGCAUACCAUCGGAUGUGCCCAGAUGGGAUUAGCUAGUAGGUGGGGUAACGGCUCACCUAGGCGACGAUGCCUAGCUGGUCUGAGAGGCUGACCAGCCACACUGGAACUGAGACACGGCCCAGACUCCUACGGGAGGCAGCAGUGGGGAAUAUUGCACAAUGGGCGAAAGCCUGACGCAGCCAUGCCGCGUGUAUGAAGAAGGCUUUCGGGUUGUAAAGCACUUUCAGCGAGGAGGCGUUACUCGCAGAAGAAGCACCGGCUAACUCCGUGCCAGCAGCCGCGGUAAUUC
This 406-nucleotide ribosomal RNA is filed under the name uncultured bacterium. RNAcentral describes it as "partial 16S ribosomal RNA". It matches the Rfam family "Bacterial small subunit ribosomal RNA", at positions 30 to 526 of the family's 1533-position model. The record is from RNAcentral.